This 709-nucleotide ribosomal RNA is filed under the name Cortinarius sp. EKB880921. RNAcentral describes it as "eukaryotic LSU rRNA". The stretch from base 166 to 319 matches the Rfam family "5.8S ribosomal RNA". The record is from RNAcentral. Lineage: Eukaryota; Fungi; Basidiomycota; Agaricomycetes; Agaricales; Cortinariaceae.
UUGAAAUAAACCUGAUGGGUUGUUGCUGGCUCUCUAGGGAGCAUGUGCACGCCUUGUCAUCUUUAUAUCUCCACCUGUGCACCUUUUGUAGACCUUUCAGGUCUAUGUUGCUUCAUUUUUACCCAAUGUAUGUUAAUAGAAUGUUGUGCCCUGUAUAAUAUAUACGACUUUCAGCAACGGAUCUCUUGGCUCUCGCAUCGAUGAAGAACGCAGCGAAAUGCGAUAAGUAAUGUGAAUUGCAGAAUUCAGUGAAUCAUCGAAUCUUUGAACGCACCUUGCGCUCCUUGGUAUUCCGAGGAGCAUGCCUGUUUGAGUGUCAUUAAUAUAUAUCAAGCCUUCUCUUGUAGAAGGGUUUGGAUGUGGGGGUUUGCUGGCCUCUUAAAAGGGUUCAGCUCUCCUGAAAUGCAUUAGCAGAACAAACCUUGUGUUCAUUGGUGUGAUAACUAUCUACGCUAUCGAAUGUCGAGGGGGCAGUUCAGCUUUCUAACGGUCUUUGGACAACUCAUCAUUAAUGUGACCUCAAAUCAGGUAGGACUACCCGCUGAACUUAAGCAUAUCAAUAAGCGGAGGAAAAGAAACUAACAAGGAUUCCCCUAGUAACUGCGAGUGAAGCGGGAAAAGCUCAAAUUUAAAAUCUGGCGGUUUUUUUGGCCGUCCGAGUUGUAAUCUAGAGAAGUGUUAUCCGCGCUGGACCGUGUACAAGUCUCCU